UGAGAGCUUUCCAUAGCUGAUCACCCUCAGCCACCCCGUGAGAUCAGUGCUAUUGUGAUCUCGUCUCACAGAUGGGAAGAGGAAGGAACAAAGAGGGUUGCAGUGAACACUCUCUAGGACAGAUACCUGAAGGUGGAAUUGCCAGAGCAAAGGCUCAUGAAAUGGGGUUCCUAGUGGCCCCCUGGCUACCAGCUCAGCUCACCACUGAGGAGGCACCACCAAGAACUCUGCCAGAGGAGGUAUCCAAGGAAGGCAGGGCUGGGACUCAAUCCAAACGACAGAUGCCACGACAGACUCAUCAUUCUGACCACCUUGGUGUUGUUAUUGACCCAGUGUGUCAUGCGUGAUGUUCUCCAAGAAGGCCCCUGGUGGC
Equus quagga is the source of this 373-nucleotide long non-coding RNA. RefSeq lists it as uncharacterized. The record is from RefSeq and is a predicted model, not a curated record. NCBI's taxonomy places the organism in Eukaryota, Metazoa, Chordata, Mammalia, Perissodactyla, Equidae. The transcript is spliced from 4 exons.